This 256-nucleotide long non-coding RNA is filed under the name Nicotiana benthamiana. RNAcentral's name for it is "long non-coding RNA (NBEN_LNC017224)". The record is from RNAcentral. Lineage: Eukaryota; Viridiplantae; Streptophyta; Magnoliopsida; Solanales; Solanaceae.
GAACCUACUAAUCACAAUGACAUUGCAGAAAAUGCACACUGAUGAUUCCUCAUUUGAUGUCACACACAUGAAUUCACCUAGUUCAAAUGAUCCAGUAUCUACUCCACCUCUUUUACAUUCUACUUAUAUAGCUCCAACUUCCCUUCCUAGAACCUCUGCAUUGUCUUCAACACAUUCACCUUCACUCAUUAAUUCUUUACCGGUACAUCAUCUCGUGAGAAGAUCAUAGAGGGAACAUAAAACUCAUGACUAUCUG